GACGAACGCUGGCGGCGUGCUUAACACAUGCAAGUCGAACGGAAAGGCCCUGCUUUUGUGGGGUGCUCGAGUGGCGAACGGGUGAGUAACACGUGAGUAACCUGCCCUUGACUUUGGGAUAACUUCAGGAAACUGGGGCUAAUACCGGAUAGGAGCUCCUGCUGCAUGGUGGGGGUUGGAAAGUUUCGGCGGUUGGGGAUGGACUCGCGGCUUAUCAGCUUGUUGGUGGGGUAGUGGCUUACCAAGGCUUUGACGGGUAGCCGGCCUGAGAGGGUGACCGGCCACAUUGGGACUGAGAUACGGCCCAGACGCCUACGGGAGGCAGCAGUGGGGAAUAUUGCACAAUGGGCGGAAGCCUGAUGCAGCAACGCCGCGUGCGGGAUGACGGCCUUCGGGUUGUAAACCGCUUUCGCCUGUGACGAAGCGUGAGGGACGGUAAUGGGUAAAGAAGCACCGGCUAACUACGU
Molecule: ribosomal RNA, 467 nt
Filed under: uncultured bacterium
Lineage: Bacteria
Description: partial 16S ribosomal RNA
Rfam family: Bacterial small subunit ribosomal RNA
Source: RNAcentral